This is a long non-coding RNA of Ictalurus punctatus (channel catfish), 6623 nucleotides long. Lineage: Eukaryota; Metazoa; Chordata; Actinopteri; Siluriformes; Ictaluridae. The record is from Ensembl.
CAACUACCGAGUCAAGGUUUGAAUUACAGCCGCCCAAUCAGGAGAUCAAGACCAGGCUCCGGUUGCGCACAAAAUAUGUGGAACCAAAUGAACAAGAGAGGGGGGGGGGGGUCAUAAAGAAAAGGACAAUACAGCACACUCCUCUCUUUGUGUCCUGGAUUUCGGAGGCAAACACUGCGGGGGGAAUUAAACAGGCACAUCGUUAUCAGAUGCUCCGUCACCACGGGGCGUGUUAAGACGCUGUCCGACUCCCCUUUUAGACAGGCAACGCUCUCUCGGGUGCGUGUUUCGUGGAGAUUCCUAAUUAGACACUACAAAGACGAAGGAAGCGAGCUCUUCUAAGAAAGUAAAACCCGUCUAUGCACAAACAGAUGAACUAGAAAACAUCCACGCGAGAGCUUAUAAUCAAUCAGUGACGCACAGUAAACGCUGUACGUUUCGUAAACGGUGAUACGAAAAGGACGCGUAAACAGGGAGCGAGAUAAAAGUUUGUCACGAUAACAGUAGGCAGGUUAAGGACGGUCAUUUUCGACGGUCCCUUGUUUUGGAUAAAUAUAACGCAACUCUACUUCCAGUUGAGGAAGUAGGCUCCGGGAUAUCCCUGGGAUAGGCUCCGGGCUCCCUGCGACCCUGUGUAGGAUAAGCAGUACGGAAAAUGGAUGGAGAAAUAAACAGGUAAACAACUACCUAGUUUAAAAAGAAAAUCACAGACCCCUGGGUGUCCAAAGAACAGUCAAAUAUAUGUGUUGUGAAUAUUAUACACACACACACAUUUUUUAUGGAUUUUGGACGUAUUAAUUAAAUUGAUGAUUUGCCCUUCGUUCAGAGUUGCAAGCAUAGACUCGUGCUCAUAUCUCAUGGGCGUGCACUGUGCAGCGACCGCUACGCUGUCACUUAUGCGCGUGGCCUGUCUGGGUUGUCUAAGGUUAGCGACGUAAUACGUAGACACUACUGUAAUAUCUAUCUACAGUGGAUAUAAAAAGUCUACACACCCCUGUCAAAAUGGCAGGUUUUGGUGAUUAAAAGAAGAUCAAACCGAUUUUUAAAGUUACAAUAACCUAGGUUGCACAAGUAUGCACACCCCUUGUGUAAGUGGAGACGUGACCGUGUUCAGAAUGAACCGAUCACGUUCGAUCUCACGUUCGAGAGUAACUAUCACGCGGCCGUCAUCGAUGAAACGAUUCCGAUUAACCCCCCCAAAUAAACACCGGCUGUUUCUGUAGGAGCUUCUUCGGACGUCUUUGUUUCUUCUGAAGCCGUGGUCCACGAACAGCUGACAAACACGCACACAUACAUAUAGCUAUUCGCAUAAAUAUAAAGCGAACAGGGUUCAUUAGUCUCAUCGAUAUAUACAUGGAAUGUGUACAAAAUGUGUACAGUAUCAGAGGGACCCUGUGUGUGCGUGUGCGUGUGUGAGAGCGUAUCUUCGCUCCUAGGCGCCCGUCUCUGUCUAUACCUCCUAAAAUAAACCAGCGAUACUCGAAGUUCACACACACUUCCCUCUCUUUCUCUGUCAGGAGAACAGGAGCCUCUUUGAGCGCGACGGGAAAAGGUAAGACGGGCUUUUUCUAAAACGUCUGAAGGACACACACUGGCCCUCAUUGUCAGGAUUGAUCCAGAACGGGAAGAGAGAAGUGUGGGAACGCUCGAGUGUCUCUGCUCAGGACCACAGCAGACGCCGCGUCGGCGGACGCUCCGAAAGCUCGCGCAGUCGAUUUUAUACACCUAACGUAUGUGGGUGUGCGUGGAGUUAGGAAAUCCAAACGUUUCCAGACGCCUCGUGGGAAUGAAAGCGAACGGGCGUCAACACGCUCUCUUCACAUCCUCCUCACUGAGCUGACCUAAUACCCACAAUGUUUCUGAUCAAUACCAUAAAGUCGAGGAGUCACUUCCUGACGGAGUGUUCGCAGCGUAGUGUGAACACACUCGACACGUGUCUAAUCUGAAAGGAGCUCUAGCGUUGUGGUUAUGCCUAGUGAAUAUACAUAUACAUAUAUACACACACACAUAUAGACCAGCCGGAACAUUAAGACCACCUGCCUAAUGUCGUGUAGGUCCGCCUUGUGCAACCAGAACAGCUCUGACCCAUCGAGGCAUGGACUCCACAAGACCUCUCAAGGUGUGCUGUGGUAUCUAACACCAAGACAUCAGCAUCAGAUCGUUUACAUCCUGUAAGUUGUGAGGUGAGGCCUCCGUGGAUCAGACUUGUUCGUCCAGAACGUCCCACAGACGUUGAGAUCUGGGGAAUUUGGAGGCCGGGUCAACGCCUCGAACUCUCGCUCACGUUCCUCAAACCGUUCCUGAAAUUUUUUCGCAGUGUGUCAGGGUGCAUCAUCCUGCUGAAAGAGCGUCAGUGUCGUAAGGGAACACCGCCACCAUGAAGGCGUGUACUCGGUCUACGACAACGUUUAGGUAGGUGGAACGUGUCAAAGUAAGAUCCACGCAGAAACGCGUGAAGGUCGGCAGGUGCCGAUCGGUCGCGCAGAUCGGAUCGCACAAAACGUGCGUUACCCGGCCUUUGUGAAAUUCGCAACAGGAACGAGCGUGAAACCGAUCACGUGAUCCGAUGCCAAACUCUUCUGUGCAGGAAGCAUCGGGUCCAGAAAGAAAAAAAAAACACGCAGAUGCCGUUAAAAUAUCACGACUUCUCAAAAUGGUGGAAAAUUUAACCAGAACUAGAGCCUUAAGCUGUGUGAAGUUCUCGCCCCGUCAGUAACGCACUCACCCUCUCAUGACUGAGGGUCAAACUAAAUACAAUUCAAGUUUGUGUAAUGAAUAGGAAUAGACACAAGGGCAUAGAAGAGCAUUUAACUAUCACACACACACACACACACACACAAUACCCUUAGCUACCUGGACUAAAAAGACAAAGACAAUAGUUCACUGGCAGGCAAACAACAUUGCCAUGUGCACACACACACACACACACACACACACACACACACACACUCUCUGGAAACACUCAGGAGAGCAGCAGUGUUUAUCUCCCACUCUGCAGAUAGACUUUGAUGUGCUGCAGGCAAGCGGAAACACACAGCCGUGUGGAGACACACACACACACACACACACACACACACACACGCCUGCUUGUCAGUAGAUAUGUCCCAAGACUCAUCGCUCCCUGUUUGGAUGAGCAUUACGCUCAACGUUACAGUUAACACACCUGUGUGCACCAGGUCUUUCCAUUGGCCCAGCACACAUGACCUACAAUUUUCACACAACACACAUUCUGAUAUCAUUUUUUUAAAAAUCUUUUUUUAAUUGUUCGAUCCGUCUCACGGUUCACGAGGAUUCGCCACGUUGCUAUUUAGUGCAGAUGUAGAACACGAGACUUUGACUGAAUCGGAAGAUUGAAUCGAUUCGACUCGGAAGCGUACGUAGGUUCCACGUGAACGAACCACAUUCGUGCGUUUUUGUAAAAAUCCGACAGCGGUUGAGCACGUGUUUUUAAAACGGAACCCCGCGCUCAAACUGAGCUCAGGAUCGAACCCAGGUAUACACACACACACAGAGAUCUACACAUGUCUAUUAAAGAGAACCUUCCUGUAGUGGAAGACGCUGAAAGGUCACAGAGAGAAAGGCGUUACCCUGGAAACGACCCUCUGCUGGGGGCCCCUUCAUGGUAGAGAAAGGCAACACAGCAUCCUGUGUGUGUGUGUGUGUGUGUGUGUGUGAGAGAAAGUGAGAGAGAGAGUACCCCUACAAUCGCAUAGACAACUACAGCAAGAUAAACACAGUGAAGGGGAUUUAUAACACAAUCAACAAGCUGUAAUCAAAAGAUAAGGACACACUGGCCCGGUUUUAUUUAAAGAACGGGGAUCUAUCAAGGUCUGAUCUUCACAAUACGUUUGUGCAAGUGUAUCAUGCCACGAACAAAGGAGAUUUCUAAGGACCUCGGAAAAAGAGUUGUUGAAGCUGGAAAAGGUCACAAAACCAUCCCUGAAGAUGUUGUGUAGAAAUGGAGGAUCUUCAAGACCGUUGUUCCCCUCCCCAGGAGUGGAGACCAACAAAGAUCACUCCGAGAGCAAGACGUGUAAUAGCCCAGGAGGUCACAAAGGAACCCAGGGUAACUUCUAAGCAGCUAAAAGCUUCUCUCACAUUGGCUAAUGUUAAUGUUAGGUUUAAAUGAGAAGCGUUAUGUUUGUAGAAAGGAAAACACUACUUAUCCCAUAUGUGAAACACGGUGGGGGUGGGAUCAUGAUCUGGGCCUGUUUUGCUGCAUCUGGUCCAGGACGACUUGCCAGUUGAUAGAAGAAUGAAUUCAAGGAAAAUAUCAGGACAUCUGUCCGUGAACUGAAUCUCAAGAGAAAGCGGGUCAUGCAGCAGGACAACGACCCUAAACACACGAGGCGUUCUACUAAAGAACGGUUCAAGAAGAAUAAAGUGAAUGUUUUGGAACGGCCAAGUCAAAGUCCUGACCUUAAUCCAAUAGAAAUGUUGUGGAAGAACCUGAAGCGAGCAGUUCAUGUGAGGAAACCCACCAAACAUCCCAGAGCUGAAGCUGUUCUGCACUGAGGAACGGGAUGAAACUCCUCAGGACUGAUCAACACUUACCCCAAACGUUUAGUUGCUGCACAAGGGGGUCACACUAGACACCAAGAGCAAAGGUUCACAUACUUCUGCCACUCACGGAUAUGUAAUAUUGGACCAUUUUCCUCAAUAAAUACAUUUCCAAGUAUAAUAUUCUUGUCUCAUUUGUUUAACUGGGUUCUCUUGAUCUACCUUUAGGACUCGUCUGGAAAUGUGACCAUGUUUUAGGUCAUAUUUAAGCAGAAAUUUAUAAAGGGUUCACAAACUUUCAAGCACCACUGUGGAUGUUCUCACGGUCUUUCCCUCUCACUCUGAGGAAGCAGGCUGUGCCUCUUUCCUGUUCCUGAUGUCUGCAUCAUGUGUUUAAAAGGGGUUCGAGUCUCAGGAUGAUGUUUUAGGUUUUAUUUAGAACAUGAAGAAAGUUUUUACUGAGAAUAAGAAUAAUAUGUUUAUCCGUUCAUCCACUUCAGGCAACAGAAGUCUGCGCUUGAGAGAGGAAGGUUACUUUAGGUCAGAUGGGGGGUGCGUGUGUGUGUCUGUGUGGGGAGAAGUGGGGCAGCAAGUCCUCAAUGAAGAACAACAAAAAAAAAAGAAGCACAGGACAAGGCGGUUUCCCUUUCACACCCUCUCGCUCUCUCCAUUCAAAACCAAACACUACACACACGCAAACAGGCAGAGGAAACACUGUGUGUGUGUCUGUCCUGGUGAAUGUAACACUGUUCCAAUAUUUCGUAUGCUCGACAUGACGACGGCUUAUAAAGGUCACCAUGAACGUGUGCGAUCCUGAUCCGAGGUCAUGUUAGUAAACAGUAACCCUUUCUUUAUCUUUAUAAAAAAAGCGCAGGUUUGGGUUUUUCAGUUCAGCUCUGAAUUCAAGAUUCGUUUAUUCUUUAAACAACAACAAUAAUAACACUCUUUCUGGAACUGAAUCCUUUUCUGAACGCUGAAGCCUCUCGCUCUCUCUCACACACACACACACCUGCAGAUGAAGAGGGCCCAGGUGAAAGCACACAGCAACUACACGCGCUUUUCUUUCAUCUCAGCAGAAUAAACGCUUCUGGAAACAGCUGCUUCAAAAGGCAGCAGGGAAAAAAAAAAAAAGUGUUGUGCUGCGAUCCUCAGGUGUACUUCUAGACAGCAAAAACACACACACAACUCAAUGCUGUUUAACACUAACAGAGUAAAGACACCAUUUAAGGUGACAAACAGUGACGCUUCACGCUGUAAACUAACCAUCUUAACAUUACGCCUGAUUCAUAAUUCAUGUAACGGCACACGUUCUGUCGUGUGUGUGUGUGAGACUGAGAGAGCAUGUGUGGGUGAGAGAGAGUGUGUGAGUGAGCAUGUGAGAGAGAGAGAGAGAGAGAGAGAGAGAGUGUGAGAGGGAGUGUGUGUGAGAGAAAUCAUGUAAGAGAGAGUGUGAGAGAGAGAGAGCAAGAGUGUGUGAGAGAGCGAGUGAAAGAGAAAGUGUGUGUGUGUGUGAGAGAGAGGGAGAGAGAACAAGAGUGUGUGCGAGAGAGAGCGUGUGAGAGAGAGCAAGAGUGUGUGCGAGAGAGAGCAAGAGUGUGAGUGUGCGUGAGAGCAUGAGUGUGUGUGAGAGCAUGAGUGUGUGUGAGAGAAUGAGUGUGUGUGAGAGAAUGAGUGUGUGUGAGAGAACGAGUGUGUGUGAGAGAACGAGUGUGUGUGAGAGAACGAGUGUGUGUGUGAGAGAACGAGUGUGUGUGUGUGUGAGAGUGUGAAUGUGUAAUCAUGCAUGGCUUAGUACCCUGUGCCAUCUUUCAACCUUUGAUGAAUCACAUGACUUAGAAGCCAGUCAUCCUCACGCAUCUUUAUCUCCUAAACUGGGACAGGAACAUGGUGAGAGAUCGGACGUCAUCUGGUGAGGACAAGUGACGGUACUGUACUAUACUAUACACUACCAUACUAUACUAUACUAUACUGUACUAUACUAUACAAUACAGCACUAUACUAUACACUACUGUACUAUACUAUACACUACAGUACUAUACUAUACACUACUGUACUGUACUAUACUAUAUACAAUACAGCACUAUACUAUACACUACUGUACUGUACUAUACUAUACAAUACAG